RNAcentral lists this long non-coding RNA (200 nucleotides) under Elaeis guineensis (African oil palm). Its description in RNAcentral is "long non-coding RNA (EGUI_LNC019039)". The record is from RNAcentral. Lineage: Eukaryota; Viridiplantae; Streptophyta; Magnoliopsida; Arecales; Arecaceae.
ACGCCAUUGGCUGCACUUGGUUAUUGACCUGGCCUACUACCUGGCAGGAGGCGGUGGCGUUGGAGAGUUAGAAAGAUGUUCGUCUAGGAGUCAUGAUGCAAAUAUAGGCCCUUCCUUUAUCUAUUGCUACUCGAAAUCGAUCGAAGUCAGAGGGAGGGCGAUUGAGCCUCACGUAUGGUUGCUGAUGCUGGAGUAACCUA